GCGACAAUUUCGGACGACAGACUUGGUGUGCAAAGACCUUGAUUCUAACUUCUCUUCAAGGCUCAGGUGAAAAAGUCUGAUGUCGAUGCAGAAAACACCAAACAAGAUGAGUCACGGGGGCCCACGAGGCUGCGGCGCUGAUGAGCCUGCAGUGCAGCGUGGGUAAUUAGGCAGCGCAGGGAUGAAGAGGCAGAGUACAGUAAUAUCUCCCGUGGAGGCCGACCCGGCUCUGACAGGACUUUCUCCAAUAGCACAGCGUGAG
Molecule: long non-coding RNA, 262 nt
Organism: Thunnus maccoyii (southern bluefin tuna)
Lineage: Eukaryota; Metazoa; Chordata; Actinopteri; Scombriformes; Scombridae
Exons: 3
Source: RefSeq, a predicted model, not a curated record